Panthera uncia (snow leopard) is the source of this 2965-nucleotide long non-coding RNA. RefSeq lists it as uncharacterized. The transcript is spliced from 3 exons. Lineage: Eukaryota; Metazoa; Chordata; Mammalia; Carnivora; Felidae. The record is from RefSeq and is a predicted model, not a curated record.
CCAGCUGCUGUGGCCCCAAGCCACUUCUCCGGGGAAGACACCCCAGCCCCACUGGAGGCCACCACUGGGCACCUCUCAAACUCUGAGCCAGACUAAGGGAUGUGUCCUGAGCAGUGGGCCCAACGGCACCCAGGUGGCCUGGUCCUCCUAGGAGAGAGCACUGGAGAGGGAGUCCAGCGGCCAUCUUUGUAAAGUCUGUAUCUUUCUGAACUUCAGUCUCUUCCACAUCCACACACCAGGAUCACAGGCAGGGACGUGCCCGGUCUUCGCAGGCCACAAACCGUAACCAGUCGUAUCCUUCCAGUGGGGGCAAAGCUCUGUCCUUUUUCCACCGCGUCCCAGCCCUCGGCACAGGGCCUGGUGCAUGUGAGGGGCCCAGUAAACGCCGGCUGGAUUAACGAGUUGGCGAAUGAAUGAAUGAGAGUCUGGGUAUGUCGUCUAGUUCAACCAUUCAAUCCAACGUGGUAUCGCGAAGGGCCUACUAUGUGCCAGGAGCUGGGCAGGCGACCGAGGAAACUCACAAAUAGCAAGACGGGAUUUCUUACCCUUCCGAGCUCAUGGUGUAAGAGCAGAGCAACCUGUCGUCAGGGCCCGUGUGUGUAUUCCUGAGUAUCCUCUGUCUACUGAACUUGACUCUCAACCCUGGGCCGCUGCUCAGUGUCUGCGGCGGCUGAACUCUGAACUCUAGGGCAGCCCCACGAUCCUUCCUCCUGGCGUUCACACCCUUGUGUGAUCCCCUCCCCUGGAGUGCGGACAGGGCUACGAUUUGCUUCUAACCAACCGACUGUGGCAAACGGGACGGGGUGUACAUAGUCACGCGUAUGUGACUCUGUUAUAUACCUCCUUCUCGUGAAGAGGCUCCGUCUCCCUUGCUGGCUUUGACGAGGCAGAGAGCCAUGCUGGGGAAGGAACGGAGGGAGGCUCGCCCCUGACACCCAGCAGGGAAAUGAGGCGCUUGGUCUGAUCACAGCGAGGAACUGAAUUCUGCCAGCAAUUGUGGGAGCUUAGAAGUAGACUCUUCCCCGGUCAAGCCUCAGCUGAGACUACAGCUCCUGCCAACACUUUGUCACCUUGUGAGACCCGGGCUGGUAUUUAAGCCGAGCCCAUAUUCCCGAGCCACAGAAACUGACGGCCAGCCAGAAGGCCCAGAAGCCACCAGGCAAGAAGCACCCUCAGGAGAUGCGGGCACCCAGCCUUUCCGGCUUUGCAGAGGCGUGGCCAAUGUGUCCCAAUAACCACCUCCACCUCCAUUUUUAUUCUGCUGAGUUAUGCAGAGUCAGUUUCUGUGGCUUGAAACUGAAGAAUCCCAGCCUCCUCGUAUGGUCUUUCUAGAAGGAGGAGCCGGCCAAGAACAAUUGCUGUCCCGCUAGGGAAAGUCUCUUUAGUUGGAGACUUGAGAAAAGAGAGGUCGUGAUGUAAUGUGUGCCUUCGUGCUGGUCGCAGUCAGAAAACCUUGAAAAGCCGCUGCCUCCGACGAUGUGCCCUUUGUUCACCAGCAGGGGCAAGACAGCUGGCACGGAAGGAGCUUCCUGUCUGCCUGGGCUCCCUGCUCACACACCCGGACCAAAGGCUCGGGCCACACCCAGCUGGGGGCCCCCACCCCGGCAACCGCACAGCGCCCGGCACACCUCUCCGUCCUCCAGGUUCCCUCUUCUCUCAGCCUCACGCCCAACCCCGCCUUCACUCCGGGAGGCCCUGUCGAAAUGACACUUCCUCUGGCCAUCAACCCACAGGGGGCCAGGCAGGCUGUCCCCUUCCGCUGCUGGCCGUCCCACAGUCUGCUGGAGCGCAGCACUCUCACCCUGCAAGUCAACUGCUCCACCACCAGCGGCUUGGCACACUCUGAUUUAGUGGGCGGGUGGAACUGUUCGCUUAAAAUGAAUGAACGAAUGAUCGAUUGAAGGUUGACUUGCUCUGGGGCGGGGGUCCUGGUGUGGAGGCUCGCUGCUUGAAUCGUCAUCCAAGGAUUGCUGUGUACCUACUAGGCACCACGCACGCAAGCGACCGGGGGACACUAGACCGACCAGAAUAGGAUGGCUUCCCUCGAGCAGCUCACAGUCCGGUGAAAGAGACAGGCAUGUGAAUUACCACCCAGAUAAGAGCCCCAGAUGAAGACAUUGGCCAGAGGACCCCACCUUGCUGGGAACACUGUAUCACAACUCCCCCACUAGCCAGUGAACUCCAGGAGAGAUGGCUGGACCCUGCCUGUAUUGCACAUCACCACUGUGGAGCUCUCUUUCUGGUGUCACAUACUAACGCAUUCAAUAUUUACUUAAUGAAUAUUCGGGAAGCUGCAAAUGGUGCAUGUUGACCUGAGAGGAAAGUGGGAGGAAAGUGCUAGGAAGAGGCGCUGAGCAGUCUGUGGGCCCCGGACCGUGGAAGGCACGUCAGCCCUGCUAAGGUCUGGGUCUUUCUCCUGCAGGCACUGGGGAAGCCAUGGAGGAGUUUCAGCGGUCUAGAAAAUUCCUUUGGCUCUGGUGUGCCGGGUGGGUGCCUGUGGCCCAGGAGGGCAGCUGAGAAAGCAAAUGCAGAAGUAACCCAGGCGAGGAGACUUGAGUCUAGAGGCAGCCGGCUGGGGUGCGCUGGCGUGGAGGCAUUUGCGUGCUGUAGAUGUGUGCUACGACGCGAGGACGCUGGCCAGUCAGGCUCUGAGAUCCCACCUCCUCCGGCCACACCGUCCCCUGCUGGGGCAGGGUCCAGUCUCCAGGAGGUUCCUGCCAAACGUCAGCCACUGCUAGCAAACUCAAGAGCUUUGCCUUGGCACUCUUUGUACCCUUAUCUUAUUCUUCUCAUUAAAAAUCAGCUCCUGUUUUGGGUGCCUGGGUGGCUCGGUUGGUUAGGCGACCGACUUCGGCUCAGGUCACGAUCUCGCGGUUUGUGAGUUCGAGCCCCGCGUUGGGCUCUGUGCUGACAGCUCGGAGCCUGGAGCCUGUUUCAGAUUCUGUGUCCCCCCCCCCCCCCCCGC